AAGGGACCUCGCCAUAUCAAAAAUGAAGUGAACGCACUAAGGAAGAAAAUGAAUAGCCAACAGCUUAGGGACCAUACAACUGGACGGGUCCUUAGCACAUAGGAGCCGUUCGAUUAAUAUGAGACCCGACCUUGACCGUUGAUCCGAUGGCUACAAGAUGAAGGACCGGUGGAUUCGAAUUCGAUCAUAUUAUGUGGGCACUUUUGAGCAAAGUGGAAAAGAACAGGGUAAUGAUUGAUUACGCUUUAUUUUGUAUGGAGUUUCCCUCUUCAUCCCAAUCGCAGCCUCUUUCUGUUCUGUUUUCCUCUUUGUCAUGAUUAUGUCGGUACUUUCAACUGUUGGCUGGGCUUCGCUUUGUAUAUAUUACAGCAGAUAGUCUUCAAAUCCUGUCUUCCCCCACAACUGUCCCUCAGCUCAGACUCUCAGAGUGGAACUUAGAACAGAGAAGGACAGCGGAGGGAGGCGAAACCCAGAAACAAGGUUCAAUCUUUUAUCUCCGGUGAGUGUCAAAGUGGGCCAUUUUCCAUUUGCCGAUCACUUCUCUCUGUGUCUCCAUUGCAAGAAAGGUGGGUUCUUUCUCCAAUUUUUGCCGGAAUUGGGAGGAAAGACUUUGAAGGGGAAAUAACUUACACUUUCUGAGAACUUGGGGCUGGGAAUUCCUGCUCCCAAGGAUCUGAAGAGUGGAGUUACUUGAAGAGGGGAGCCAAACUCCGUAAAAGAUGAGGCAGAAACAAUGCCGUCUCUUUCUACUUGUGCAUCACAGGGUUGGAAACUCUCUGUUCCUGUCAGAAAUAAUGCCGCGUUAGCUCAAUGUAAUCAAAGGAAUAUGCUUUGCUUUGUUCACAAAAGUUGAGUAUCAUAACCUGGAGCUGUAAUUGCAGUUGAGAAGAUCCCUUCCUCACCCUCUGGAAUACCCUCUUCAGCAGUUUACUGAAGAGUAUAGAUUGUCUUUUAGACAAUCUUACUCACCCGAAUCGGCUAUGUCCCCCUUGUGGCUGAUAUGAUGGUGGCUUAUUGAGAGGUUAUUGCGAAUAUUUUGAACCAAUACAGCAAAUGGAGUCCU
Punica granatum (pomegranate) is the source of this 1063-nucleotide non-coding RNA. The record is from RefSeq and is a predicted model, not a curated record. Lineage: Eukaryota; Viridiplantae; Streptophyta; Magnoliopsida; Myrtales; Lythraceae.